RNAcentral lists this ribosomal RNA (1809 nucleotides) under Shigella sonnei. RNAcentral describes it as "bacterial LSU rRNA". It matches the Rfam family "Bacterial large subunit ribosomal RNA", at positions 391 to 2185 of the family's 2925-position model. Lineage: Bacteria; Pseudomonadati; Pseudomonadota; Gammaproteobacteria; Enterobacterales; Enterobacteriaceae. The record is from RNAcentral.
CACAUAUUGUGAGCUCGAUGAGUAGGGCGGGACACGUGGUAUCCUGUCUGAAUAUGGGGGGCCCAUCCUCCAAGGCUAAAUACUCCUGACUGACCGAUAGUGAACCAGUACCGUGAGGGAAAGGCGAAAAGAACCCCGGCGAGGGGAGUGAAAAAGAACCUGAAACCGUGUACGUACAAGCAGUGGGAGCACGCUUAGGCGUGUGACUGCGUACCUUUUGUAUAAUGGGUCAGCGACUUAUAUUCUGUAGCAAGGUUAACCGAAUAGGGGAGCCGAAGGGAAACCGAGUCUUAACUGGGCGUUAAGUUGCAGGGUAUAGACCCGAAACCCGGUGAUCUAGCCAUGGGCAGGUUGAAGGUUGGGUAACACUAACUGGAGGACCGAACCGACUAAUGUUGAAAAAUUAGCGGAUGACUUGUGGCUGGGGGUGAAAGGCCAAUCAAACCGGGAGAUAGCUGGUUCUCCCCGAAAGCUAUUUAGGUAGCGCCUCGUGAAUUCAUCUCCGGGGGUAGAGCACUGUUUCGGCAAGGGGGUCAUCCCGACUUACCAACCCGAUGCAAACUGCGAAUACCGGAGAAUGUUAUCACGGGAGACACACGGCGGGUGCUAACGUCCGUCGUGAAGAGGGAAACAACCCAGACCGCCAGCUAAGGUCCCAAAGUCAUGGUUAAGUGGGAAACGAUGUGGGAAGGCCCAGACAGCCAGGAUGUUGGCUUAGAAGCAGCCAUCAUUUAAAGAAAGCGUAAUAGCUCACUGGUCGAGUCGGCCUGCGCGGAAGAUGUAACGGGGCUAAACCAUGCACCGAAGCUGCGGCAGCGACGCUUAUGCGUUGUUGGGUAGGGGAGCGUUCUGUAAGCCUGCGAAGGUGUGCUGUGAGGCAUGCUGGAGGUAUCAGAAGUGCGAAUGCUGACAUAAGUAACGAUAAAGCGGGUGAAAAGCCCGCUCGCCGGAAGACCAAGGGUUCCUGUCCAACGUUAAUCGGGGCAGGGUGAGUCGACCCCUAAGGCGAGGCCGAAAGGCGUAGUCGAUGGGAAACAGGUUAAUAUUCCUGUACUUGGUGUUACUGCGAAGGGGGGACGGAGAAGGCUAUGUUGGCCGGGCGACGGUUGUCCCGGUUUAAGCGUGUAGGCUGGUUUUCCAGGCAAAUCCGGAAAAUCAAGGCUGAGGCGUGAUGACGAGGCACUACGGUGCUGAAGCAACAAAUGCCCUGCUUCCAGGAAAAGCCUCUAAGCAUCAGGUAACAUCAAAUCGUACCCCAAACCGACACAGGUGGUCAGGUAGAGAAUACCAAGGCGCUUGAGAGAACUCGGGUGAAGGAACUAGGCAAAAUGGUGCCGUAACUUCGGGAGAAGGCACGCUGAUAUGUAGGUGAAGUCCCUUGCGGAUGGAGCUGAAAUCAGUCGAAGAUACCAGCUGGCUGCAACUGUUUAUUAAAAACACAGCACUGUGCAAACACGAAAGUGGACGUAUACGGUGUGACGCCUGCCCGGUGCCGGAAGGUUAAUUGAUGGGGUCAGCGCAAGCGAAGCUCUUGAUCGAAGCCCCGGUAAACGGCGGCCGUAACUAUAACGGUCCUAAGGUAGCGAAAUUCCUUGUCGGGUAAGUUCCGACCUGCACGAAUGGCGUAAUGAUGGCCAGGCUGUCUCCACCCGAGACUCAGUGAAAUUGAACUCGCUGUGAAGAUGCAGUGUACCCGCGGCAAGACGGAAAGACCCCGUGAACCUUUACUAUAGCUUGACACUGAACAUUGAGCCUUGAUGUGUAGGAUAGGUGGGAGGCUUUGAAGUGUGGACGCCAGUCUGCAUGGAG